CUGAUCAGCAUGCGCGUGUGUGAAGAAGGCCUUCGGGUUGUAAAGCACUUUUGUCAGGAACGAAACGGUGGGGGCUAAUAUCCUCUGCUAAUGACGGUACCUGAAGAAUAAGCACCGGCUAACUACGUGCCAGCAGCCGCGGUAAUACGUAGGGUGCGAGCGUUAAUCGGAAUUACUGGGCGUAAAGCGUGCGCAGGCGGUUGUGCAAGACAGAUGUGAAAUCCCCGGGCUUAACCUGGGAAUUGCAUUUGUGACUGCACGGCUAGAGUGUGUCAGAGGGGGGUAGAAUUCCACGUGUAGCAGUGAAAUGCGUAGAUAUGUGGAGGAAUACCGAUGGCGAAGGCAGCCCCCUGGGAUAACACUGACGCUCAUGCACGAAAGCGUGGGGAGCAAACAGGAUUAGAUACCCUGGUAGUCCACGCCCUAAACGAUGUCUACUAGUUGUCGGGUCUUAAUUGACUUGGUAACGCAGCUAACGCGUGAAGUAGACCGCCUGGGGAGUACGGUCGCAAGAUUAAAACUCAAAGGAAUUGACGGGGACCCGCACAAGCGGUGGAUGAUGUGGAUUAAUUCGAUGCAACGCGAAGAACCUUAACUACCCUUGACAUGUACGGAAGCCUGUUGAAAGGUGGGGGUGCUCGAA
RNAcentral lists this ribosomal RNA (643 nucleotides) under uncultured bacterium. Its description in RNAcentral is "bacterial SSU rRNA". It matches the Rfam family "Bacterial small subunit ribosomal RNA", at positions 383 to 1022 of the family's 1533-position model. The record is from RNAcentral.